Labrus mixtus (cuckoo wrasse) is the source of this 342-nucleotide long non-coding RNA. RefSeq lists it as uncharacterized. The transcript has 2 exons. Lineage: Eukaryota; Metazoa; Chordata; Actinopteri; Labriformes; Labridae. The record is from RefSeq and is a predicted model, not a curated record.
UCCAUGCAUCCCACUUUUUCUGUCCCGGGAAGUCAAAAAUCCCCGGACGCGCUGAGGAUGUAAAAAUAAAUUGUUAUUCUGGCGAUGCAACAGGUAACAAAUGAUUUUUCUUGAAAUCUACUUGAAAGUCUUGUAAAACACAACAUUUUAUUCUGGGAAUUAAAAAAUAAUUUCAGAACAAUAUCCUAGCAUAAAGUAUGAUACAGUAUGACAUUUUAAAAUGUUCUCAAUUUUAAGGACAGCAUCCCUUUGUGCUUUAGCUUUUAAAAGCUUUUAAAAUUGGUUUCAAGACAGGACAAAUGUAUCUUGGGAUGACAAUUAAUAACAGAUAUAUAGUUCAAA